Molecule: non-coding RNA, 72 nt
Organism: Podarcis lilfordi (Lilford's wall lizard)
Lineage: Eukaryota; Metazoa; Chordata; Lepidosauria; Squamata; Lacertidae
Source: the annotation of a GenBank genome assembly
CCCAGGAUAGCUCAGUCGGUAAAGCAUGAGACUCUUACUCUCAGGUUCGUGGGUUCGAGCCCCCUGUUGGGC